UCCGUUAAUUGAUUAUGACGUACUUGUACUGAUUGAGAUUUUAACACGAAGUGAGUGGCGAACGGGUGAGUAACACGUGGGUAACCUGCCCAGAAGUAGGGGAUAACACCUGGAAACAGAUGCUAAUACCGUAUAACAGAGAAAACCGCAUGGUUUUCUUUUAAAAGAUGGCUCUGCUAUCACUUCUGGAUGGACCCGCGGCGUAUUAGCUAGUUGGUGAGGUAAAGGCUCACCAAGGCAGUGAUACGUAGCCGACCUGAGAGGGUAAUCGGCCACAUUGGGACUGAGACACGGCCCAGACUCCUACGGGAGGCAGCAGUAGGGAAUCUUCCACAAUGGACGCAAGUCUGAUGGAGCAACGCCGCGUGAGUGAAGAAGGGUUUCGGCUCGUAAAGCUCUGUUGUUAAAGAAGAACGUGGGUAAGAGUAACUGUUUACCCAGUGACGGUAUUUAACCAGAAAGCCACGGCUAACUACGUGCCAGCAGCCGCGGUAAUACGUAGGUGGCAAGCGUUAUCCGGAUUUAUUGGGCGUAAAGCGAGCGCAGGCGGUCUUUUAAGUCUAAUGUGAAAGCCUUCGGCUCAACCGAAGAAGUGCAUUGGAAACUGGGAGACUUGAGUGCAGAAGAGGACAGUGGAACUCCAUGUGUAGCGGUGAAAUGCGUAGAUAUAUGGAAGAACACCAGUGGCGAAGGCGGCUGUCUGGUCUGCAACUGACGCUGAGGCUCGAAAGCAUGGGGUAGCGAACAGGAUUAGAUACCCUGGUAGUCCAUGCCGUAAACGAUGAUUACUAAGUGUUGGAGGGUUUCCGCCCUUCAGUGCUGCAGCUAACGCAUUAAGUAAUCCGCCUGGGGAGUACGACCGCAAGGUUGAAACUCAAAAGAAUUGACGGGGGCCCGCACAAGCGGUGGAGCAUGUGGUUUAAUUCGAAGCUACGCGAAGAACCUUACCAGGUCUUGACAUCUUCUGACAGUCUAAGAGAUUAGAGGUUCCCUUCGGGGACAGAAUGACAGGUGGUGCAUGGUUGUCGUCAGCUCGUGUCGUGAGAUGUUGGGUUAAAGUCCCGCAACGAGCGCAACCCUUAUUACUAGUUGCCAGCAUUAAGUUGGGCACUCUAGUGAGACUGCCGGUGACAAACCGGAGGAAGGUGGGGACGACGUCAAAUCAUCAUGCCCCUUAUGACCUGGGCUACACACGUGCUACAAUGGAUGGUACAACGAGUCGCGAGACCGCGAGGUUAAGCUAAUCUCUUAAAACCAUUCUCAGUUCGGACUGUAGGCUGCAACUCGCCUACACGAAGUCGGAAUCGCUAGUAAUCGCGGAUCAGCAUGCCGCGGUGAAUACGUUCCCGGGCCUUGUACACACCGCCCGUCGGCACCAUGAGAGUUUGUAACACCCAAA
This 1399-nucleotide ribosomal RNA is filed under the name Pediococcus pentosaceus. RNAcentral's name for it is "bacterial SSU rRNA". It matches the Rfam family "Bacterial small subunit ribosomal RNA", at positions 62 to 1425 of the family's 1533-position model. The record is from RNAcentral. Lineage: Bacteria; Bacillati; Bacillota; Bacilli; Lactobacillales; Lactobacillaceae.